UUUGAAUGAGUGCAUUUAAAAUGUUUAUCAUGUUCUUUAGCUGCUCUUGAAUAAUCUAGUCUAUCACGUAAUCCCCUUAUGUCCUCCUAAAAACCUUACAGAUUCCCACAAGGUACCUUCCACAAUGAUCGCCGUUCGGAUUACUGCACGUGAUCACCGAUCUAUCCGCAAUUAUAAUUCUGGCAUACUCAGUAGUCAGUAAUCGUCGUAACCUCCGGAAAAUUAAAUUAAGCAGCAAUACCUCGUAUACCUUCUUACCCUCCUUGUUCCUAUCCAACUCGAGGUCAUUAGUCAAUAAAAUCGAUGAGCUGUCUGGAACUGUUUCUUCACUUUCUUUGGAUAUUGUGGUCAUUA
Non-coding RNA from Paramuricea clavata, 354 nucleotides. Lineage: Eukaryota; Metazoa; Cnidaria; Anthozoa; Malacalcyonacea; Plexauridae. The record is from the annotation of a GenBank genome assembly.